GGCUCCGAGGCCGACGCGCCGCCCCGCCCUCCUUUUAACCUUGAGCGCUGCACGGUCCGGGCGAAGGAGACAGGAAAGGCCGCGGGCGGCGGGCGGCGCUAAGUCCGUCUCGCGGGAACUGAGCCACGGGAAGAGCGCCUCGCUUCGACCUUCUGCAGCGCUCCAGCUGCCAUUCGCGGAGGCGGAGUCGUUAACGCUGCUGCGGCCGGGCCUACACGCAUUUGCGGCAGGACCUUCGGGGGUCGACAAACAAAUCUCCUGGACAAGAUGCGGGGCUUUCAGAAGGCAUUCAGGUUCCUGAACGCGACAGUGCGGACUCAGAUCGUUCCUAGAGCGAAUGUACUCUCCAAACCACCUCAAGAAAUCCUAACAGCCACUGAUAAAACUAUUGCACUACUUGUGAUACAUGCAGCCAUCUUGAUCCCAUCUUAUUGGAUUAUGAGCCACCUGGAAGAUUACAAGAGACGACCCAGUGACUGAAAAGUAGGAGAAAUCCACUAUGAAUGCAGUCACAAAGAAGAGAAUGUCAAAAAGAAACUUCUGCUCUCGCUGAUGGAGAGUUAUCCAUGAUGGUUAUUAUAAUUAAUAAAUUUUAAAUCAUUACAGCUAAAA
Varanus komodoensis (Komodo dragon) is the source of this 612-nucleotide long non-coding RNA. RefSeq lists it as uncharacterized. NCBI's taxonomy places the organism in Eukaryota, Metazoa, Chordata, Lepidosauria, Squamata, Varanidae. The record is from RefSeq and is a predicted model, not a curated record. The transcript has 2 exons.